AUUCUGCACAGAAGACCUUUUUCUGUUUGUUUUUAACAUGAAUACCGUCCUUGGCAUCCUAUAAGACACACUGCAUUCCUGUGGGAAUAAAAGGAGGCUUGUUGGAGCUUUGACUGGUCUCUUGUCAGGCACACAAAAUCCAAUUCACUCUGGUAUUUCUACUCGUCCCACUCUGGUUGGACAUACAUACUCCCACCAUCAACCUUUUCCUUUAGCUGUGCUGCUGGGAGAGUUCACAUCGUUGUCUCUUGCUUUGGCUCCCAUAAUGCAGAGAAAGGGACAGCCCACAAGAAGCUUUCUCUCUCCGUGUUGUCAUCCCAAUGGGUAACAGCCAAAUUCAUUUCAAGUGCAGGUAUUGACAUCUGGGUUAGUUUUACCUUUAAAGCAGUGGAGAUGAGUAGGUGCCUGAGGGAUGCACUUCAUCUCAUCUGGAUUUUGGUGAAGUGCCCCUGCGAUGCCUCUUCGCCCCAUAAAUGAGAAUAGGAAUCUAGAUGCUCAGUUCCCUUUGAAGGGACUCACUUUAAGGUUACAUCUGAGGAAAAAUAUAGAGACCUUCUGCCCUCUGAUCAUCCUUUCCGAGCUGGGAAAGAAACAGGCUCAGACAAAGGAUAUAAAACAUUUCCCUUCCCACAGCCUUUUUCCCCCUUGCCAUUGAGAAGAUGACAUUUAUAUUUGUGUAGUGUUUAGCACGAGGGACCCUCACUUUCAUUUUAUCCCUGGGCGCCAUUGGAGUAACAAAAAUAAACAGCAGAACAUGGUGUGUGUGGGGGGGUGGGAGGUUGGGAAUGAUGCCAGCUGACAUUCAAAGCACGGGCCUGGUUAUUUCCUGAUGAAUAACAGUGUUUACAGAAGGCCUUUCACCCUGAGGUGCUUCACAAAUCACAAACAUGCAGCCCCACAUCACAGCGUGGGCAGAACUGCUGACUUCAAAGUUUUGGCUGAGAAAAUCCCACACGCAGACCAUGGCAGGGAGCAACACACCUUCCAGAUAGCAAAAACCAAGGCAGUUCCAGGAACCAAGCCUGCUUCCAGCCUCAAGCCACAUCCAAUGAUCCUGCAGCCCAAAACCGUGCUAACACGAGAAGGAGAAACAAAGAAAAUGAAGGUGAACAUUUCUGACACUGCAUGUCUGAAAAUGACAGCAAAGGAAUCCCCCAAAACAGAUGAUUUUGGCUGA
RNAcentral lists this long non-coding RNA (1177 nucleotides) under Coturnix japonica (Japanese quail). RNAcentral describes it as "lncRNA (ENSCJPG00005010450.1)". The record is from RNAcentral. Lineage: Eukaryota; Metazoa; Chordata; Aves; Galliformes; Phasianidae.